This 459-nucleotide ribosomal RNA is filed under the name uncultured bacterium. RNAcentral's name for it is "partial 16S ribosomal RNA". It matches the Rfam family "Bacterial small subunit ribosomal RNA", at positions 339 to 795 of the family's 1533-position model. The record is from RNAcentral.
CUACGGGGUGCACCAGUAAGGAAUAUUGGGCAAUGGACGCAAGUCUGACCCAGCCAUGCCGCGUGAAGGAUGAAGGUCCUCUGGAUUGUAAACUUCUUUUAUCUGGGGCGAAAAACACCUUUUCUAAGGUGCUUGACAGUACCAGAGGAAUAAGCACCGGCUAACUCCGUGCCAGCAGCCGCGGUAAUACGGAGGGUGCAAGCGUUAUCCGGAUUCACUGGGUUUAAAGGGUGCGUAGGCGGGCAGGUAAGUCAGUGGUGAAAUCCCCGAGCUUAACUCGGGAACUGCCGUUGAUACUAUCUGUCUUGAAUACCGUGGAGGUGAGCGGAAUAUGUCAUGUAGCGGUGAAAUGCUUAGAUAUGACAUAGAACACCAAUUGCGAAGGCAGCUCGUUACACGGUCAUUGACGCUGAGGCACGAAAGCGUGGGGAUCAAACAGGAUUAGAUACCCCCGUAGUC